CGUUACUCUGACACAGGCUGCUCAUCCACGCGUAGCGUCGCGGCCUGCAACACUGAACGGCGGUGUGGAUCUAGCACAGCAUUGGGGCUUUCCUUCAUCACAGCGGACCGAGAUCCAUCCGACAAGCCCGGGGUUAGCAUCGUGCAAGAACAAGCAAAAGAAAGGGACAGAGAAACAAAAAAAGUGUACACAAGCAACAAUCAUAUUGCCUACUAGACGACAUGGCAAUUGAAACGAUUUCUUGACACGUCAAUCUAUCCCCUCUUCGCGAAGAUGUCGGCAUGGUGGCCGCCAACUUAUCAAGAAUCAAGAGAGGAAAACGCAAAUAAGCAGGAUAGAUCAACGAAAAAAAGCAUGAAGAAAAUCAAGAAAUUGGGAGAGUUGUAGGGGAUGAAAGGGAAGGGAAUGGCGGCAACGGCAAACGGCCUUGUGGCUCCACGUUGCCACCGCACACUUGAUGCACCGAACAGCACACACUAGCAAGGCUGGCAGGAAGACAACGGCGGAUAGAGGGGGCAUUGCAUUUGUUUUGGAAGGUGCCAACCAUGGCACGCGGCUAGGGUUUGGUCCCCGAUGAGUGGUGAGACGACGACAAGUUGGUUCUAGAAGCAAAUGAGACGGAAUCCUCGCACAGGGCAGAUUAAAUAAUGUCGAACCAACAAGGACGGACAUAAUAAAUUAAGUUAACCGUGGAUGGUCCAAGCAACAGAUUUCAAUCCCAGGUUUAAAUAAAAAAAUUAAUCAGCACAAACACAACAAAGACACAUUUUGACAAUGAAUCCACUUCAUUUUGUCCAGGUUUGCGGUCAAUUUCCCUGAAUUUCACAACCCCACCGUCAUCACUGUCACCAGCCCCAAAGAGCUUCAGGAGGAAGACUUCGCCCUUAGACACGCACGCUGAAACAUUCAGAGCGAAGGACGGGGCACCUGUACAAAAGGACGAAGAUUCAAACGGGUCGGCAAGGGUGGUGUUGGCGGGCUUGCCGGGGGCAAUACAAAUAUACAACGUCCCGAUCAUCACAUCAAUGCCAAUGUUUGUGAUCAAAGAUGGAGGAGCCAGGUUUGGCAGUCUCCGACAGAGUAAUGGGCUCAUGCUUCACAACCGGGUAGGCUUAAACCGAAAUCAUGGGCUCAUGACACACAAGGAUGAGCCAUACACAAACGGGCACAUCAAUUCAAAAGUAGACAGUAAUUACACAUAUGUAAGUAACGCUUGCUAUUGACAGUUUUCAUUAAGGCCGAUGCUUUGUUUCAUAUACACACAAUUAACUUUUACAACUUUUGCACAUUCACGGUAUAAAGUUGUAACAGUGAUUUCAAAGACUGAAAGUACAACAAUUUACAGAUUUUUCAAAAGAACAAUAGAAACACAUGAAUCAUUAUAAAACAUACUCCCUCAUUUUCGGUUUAUAGGCCUUAAAUCUCAAAUCUCAUCAACCAAGAUAAAUUGUAAGAAGAGAUCCUAGUUUUAAUUAACCAAAUGAAAUAUUUCUCACAUAUUCAAUUUCCGAGGCAAUAAAUGUAACAUCCUCCUUCUCAUUGGUCUUGCAUGGAGGAGGUAGAAAACAAUGCAUUCAUGGCCACUCAUUUGCAUUUUCUAAACUCUAUGAAUUAAAUAUGACGAGGAACUCAAAGCAUUUCAACUUAAUUAGACUAAAAAUGAGCCUACAAUAAUAGAAAUCUAAAUUUUUUGAGAUUUGUCAUAUAAUCCGGAAAGGAGGGAAUAUGCAACUUUAAUAUGUUGUUGUACAAUUACGUUUUUCAAGAUAAAUAAGUUAUCAAAGGGGAAAAUCACCAACCCUCAGACAUCCAAUCCAAGGAAGAAAUUAGCAGCAUUGGCAGCCUAACAGGGAGAGAGCUAUUAGCAGCAACUGCCAAUGUUUUGAGAAACAAGCAAUAUGUUUAUCAACAUUGCCAUAUUAUUUUCCCAAUAUCAGUUACUCCCAAAAAACAAAAGAAUUAUAUUGGACAACACGUUCAAUCAGAAGUGACAUAAUAAUAGCCCUAUCAGAGUAACUAUGACAAAAAAUAUAGCUCCAUCUGGACAUAAAUCCAUAGCUAAAAUAUUUAGUUCAUCAUGUAGGGCUAAGGGGAUAAAACAAACAAAUAUUACAGAAACUUACACAAGUCAUAUUAAACAAAUCACGCAAAACACCUGACCUCCAAUACGCACAACUGAUCGUACAAGCGAAAAAAGAUACCCAGUACAAAUAUCUUCGUUAUUGCCGUUACCAUUCAAACACGAAAAUGGUUUAGUUGACGAGGAAUACAGCAUGUUAUAAGCGGUUUUUGGAUUAACGUGAAAUUUCUGUUACCGUUAUUACAUAAUAAUUCCUGCAGUUAAAUUUUUAGCAUUGUUACUGCAUUUCACAGCAGUUUAAUUUUUAACUUUAUUACUGAAUUAAAGGGAUGCAGCAAAACAUUUGUGGUGUUUGCGACUGACUUUCAUUAAGGUUGGGAAUAGUGUUCAGGUAACAACUACAAAGAAUAUUCCAAAUUGUUUCUCCAGAUUAUUUUAAAUUGUUUGCCAGGAUGCACCUGAUAUAAAACCUUUCAACUUUUCUAAGUAAAAGUUUGCAAGGAUGCAUCGAAUAUUUGUGAAGUCUCGUGCUGUUAUUUAACUCACAUCCCUGGUAUAAAUCAUUUCAACUUUUUUAAGUAAAAGUUUACAAGGAUGCAUCGAAAAUUUGUGAAAUCUCGUGCUGUUAUUUAACUCCCAUCUCGUAGGAACAAGAGACGAAGCUGAUGACAACACACAUUCUCCCGAGAUUUUCAGCCUCUUCCACAAAUCAGAAAAACUUGCGAGAGGAUAGUUAAACUCGGCAACAAGAAAAACUAGAGCUAGCAAUAAAACAUACAACAACAGCAAAAAGAAAGAACAGUCCUUUUAUCAAAGAACCUCAGACUAGUCUAGGUUCAUCCUGCAAACACGAUACUUUAUAAAGUUGUGAAUUUUCAGAAGCAGAACUGGCAUGUUUACAAAGUUCACAGAUCAUGGCUCAGAUCGGUAUAACAGGCUUUUCAGUCAUGAAUUUUCAGAAGCAGAACUGGCAUGUUUGCUAAAAGUGUUUAUCAUCACCGCCAUGUACACAUCAACCUAUUAACACACAAAAAAUCAACAGCAGAAAAUAAGAGGGAUUUGGUAUUUGCAGUGGCUCAUAUUAAGAAAUUCAACCAUGUUUUCCCUUGUACUUCACGAGUUAAUCAGAAGCGCGGGUAAGAUUCUAAUCACAGCCACCAAAACCAUCCAAGAUCCGAAACAAAAACAGAGCAAAAAAGAACAGAUGCAAUGCGAAUGUAUCCGUUACUCUGACACAGGCUGCUCAUCCACGCGUAGCGUCGCGGCCUGCAACACUGAACGGCGGUGUGGAUCUAGCACAGCAUUGGGGCUUCCCUUCAUCACAGCGGACCGAGAUCCGUCCGACAAGCCCGGGGUUAGCAUCGUGCAAGAACAAGAAAAUUACUCAUCAACUACAGAAGACCAAGCAGAAAGAAGGGCCGGAGCAGAAGAAAAAGAGUGUACGCAAGCAACAAUCAUAUUGCCUACUGGACGACAUGGCAAUUGAAACGAUUUCUUGACGCGUCGAUCUAUCCCCUCCUCGCGAAGAUGACGGCAUGGUAGCCGCCAACUUAUCAAGAAUCGAGAGAGGAAAACGCAAAUGAGCAGGAUAGAUCAAGGGGAGAAAAGCACGAAGUAAAUCGAGAGAGGGGGCGAGAGCGAGAGGUAGGGGAUGAACGGGGGAGGGGGGAGGGGGCGGCGGCUGCUGGGAACCCUAGGAGAGUGGUGGGAUUGGGGGAUCGCUUCGGAGUAU
RNAcentral lists this long non-coding RNA (3812 nucleotides) under Hordeum vulgare. RNAcentral describes it as "long non-coding RNA (HVUL_LNC020367)". Lineage: Eukaryota; Viridiplantae; Streptophyta; Magnoliopsida; Poales; Poaceae. The record is from RNAcentral.